This 253-nucleotide ribosomal RNA is filed under the name uncultured bacterium. RNAcentral's name for it is "partial 16S ribosomal RNA". It matches the Rfam family "Bacterial small subunit ribosomal RNA", at positions 524 to 776 of the family's 1533-position model. The record is from RNAcentral.
UACGUAGGGGGCGAGCGUUGUCCGGAUUUAUUGGGCGUAAAGGGCGUGUAGGCGGCCUGUUAAGUCGGGGGUGAAACCCCGGGGCUCAACCCCGGGCAUGCCCUUGAUACUGGGAGGCUUGAGUGCUUUAGAGGGCAGUGGAAUUGCCGGUGUAGCAGUGAAAUGCGUAGAGAUCGGCAGGAACACCAGUGGCGAAGGCGACUGCCUGGGGAGUAACUGACGCUGAGGCGCGAAAGCUGGGGGAGCAAACGGG